Molecule: ribosomal RNA, 426 nt
Filed under: uncultured bacterium
Lineage: Bacteria
Description: bacterial SSU rRNA
Rfam family: Bacterial small subunit ribosomal RNA
Source: RNAcentral
AGCGAACGUUUGCGGCGGGCCUAACACAUGCAAGUCGAACGCACUAGCAAUAGUGAGUGGCGCACGGGUGCGUAACACGUGGGUAAUCAACCCUUCAGCCUGGGAUAACGACUCGAAAGGGUCGCUAAUACCGGAUACGGCGCGAGAGGCUUCGGCUUCUCACGAGAAAGCCACGCAAGGGGCACUGAAGGACGAGCCUGCGGCCCAUCAGCUAGUUGGUGAGGUAAGAGCUCACCAAGGCUAAGACGGGUAGCUGGUCUGAGAGGAUGAUCAGCCACACUGGAACUGAGACACGGUCCAGACUCCUACGGGAGGCAGCAGUGGGGAAUAUUGCGCAAUGGGCGAAAGCCUGACGCAGCCACGCCGCGUGAGCGAUGAAGGCCUUCGGUCGUAAGACUCUGUGGGGUAGGAGACGAAGAAAGACCU